AAUAAGUGCAGUUUUAGCACUGUUCAUGUUCAACGUUUGACCGUUCGUCUUAUUUGAAAAACAAUUAUAAUUAGUAUUUUUAUUGUUGUUAGAUGAUAAUACAUGAAUAGUAUUUAUGUGUGACUAAUAUUUUUAAUUUUUUUCAUAAAAUUUUCAAAUACGAAUGGUUAAAAUACUGGACACGAAUAUCUAUGGUUACACUUAUU
Molecule: microRNA precursor, 206 nt
Organism: Oryza rufipogon (brownbeard rice)
Lineage: Eukaryota; Viridiplantae; Streptophyta; Magnoliopsida; Poales; Poaceae
Rfam family: MIR812 microRNA precursor family
Source: Rfam